Mustela erminea (ermine) is the source of this 583-nucleotide long non-coding RNA. RefSeq lists it as uncharacterized. The record is from RefSeq and is a predicted model, not a curated record. The transcript has 2 exons. NCBI's taxonomy places the organism in Eukaryota, Metazoa, Chordata, Mammalia, Carnivora, Mustelidae.
AUAAGUUGGGGAGCUGAGAGCCUUCAGCUCAUGGUGAGCAUGUCUGGCCACACGGACCCUUGAUGUCCUACAGUGAGGUAUUCGUGCUAUCUUGGGCCCAGCAGCCUUCCAGGAGCUUCCCUUCCCAUGCUGUGUAUAGUUCUCUGCAGCAAAUGGAAGAGCGUUGCUUUGAGAAGCUGAGAUGCUGCGCGGUGGUCCUGUCAUUGGGACUUGUCAAAGAGCCCACGUGACCCCUCUUCCUCACAGGUGACCCUGCUCGCCUUGGAUCUGCUGGCACCCAUGGCCCAAGCAGCAAGGCUGCUUUCACGGAAAACCAGACCUGCUGCAAAGCCUUCUCCUGUUGUGAGCUCUACUAAAGCUAGAAACCUUCCAGGUCACCUUAUAAUGGCUUCACGCAGUGGACCUCAGUGUGGAACAUUCUGCAAGCAAAACCUAAGAGACCUAAGAAGUGGUGUGCUGCUUGCUUACAGGUGGACUGUUCAUGAGUGUGGAUGUCUGCAAAAAUGGCGUGACUUUCCUUAGAAUCAGAGCCACACCCUAUGUCUGAUUCCUUUCUUUAAUCCUUUAAAUUUGGGGAGAAAUU